Molecule: ribosomal RNA, 909 nt
Filed under: Photobacterium sp. TSAR28
Lineage: Bacteria; Pseudomonadati; Pseudomonadota; Gammaproteobacteria; Vibrionales; Vibrionaceae
Description: bacterial SSU rRNA
Rfam family: Bacterial small subunit ribosomal RNA
Source: RNAcentral
GGGCGGCGAGCGGCGGACGGGUGAGUAAUGCCUGGGAAUAUGCCCUGAUGUGGGGGAUAACCAUUGGAAACGAUGGCUAAUACCGCAUAAUGUCUUCGGAGCAAAGAGGGGGACCUUCGGGCCUCUCGCGUCAGGAUUAGCCCAGGUGGGAUUAGCUAGUUGGUGGGGUAACGGCUCACCAAGGCGACGAUCCCUAGCUGGUCUGAGAGGAUGAUCAGCCACACUGGAACUGAGACACGGUCCAGACUCCUACGGGAGGCAGCAGUGGGGAAUAUUGCACAAUGGGGGAAACCCUGAUGCAGCCAUGCCGCGUGUGUGAAGAAGGCCUUCGGGUUGUAAAGCACUUUCAGUCGUGAGGAAGGGUGUGUAGUUAAUAGCUGGACAUUUUGACGUUAGCGACAGAAGAAGCACCGGCUAACUCCGUGCCAGCAGCCGCGGGAAUACGGAGGGUGCGAGCGUUAAUCGGAAUUACUGGGCGUAAAGCGCAUGCAGGCGGUCUGUUGAGCAAGAUGUGAAAGCCCGGGGCUCAACCUCGGAACAGCAUUUUGAACUGGCAGACUAGAGUCUUGUAGAGGGGGGUAGAAUUUCAGGUGUAGCGGUGAAAUGCGUAGAGAUCUGAAGGAAUACCGGUGGCGAAGGCGGCCCCCUGGACAAAGACUGACGCUCAGAUGCGAAAGCGUGGGGAGCAAACAGGAUUAGAUACCCUGGUAGUCCACGCCGUAAACGAUGUCUACUUGGAGGUUGUGGCCUUGAGCCGUGGCUUUCGGAGCUAACGCGUUAAGUAGACCGCCUGGGGAGUACGGUCGCAAGAUUAAAACUCAAAUGAAAUUGACGGGGGCCCGCACAAGCGGGGGCAGCAUGUGGUUUAAAUUCGAUGCAACGCGAAAGAAACCUUACCCUACUCUUUGA